AUGUGGAUUUUAUGGACAUGCACAGUCAUAUUUUUACUGGUCAGAGACUGUCAUUGCAUUCAAAAGACCACGUUAUCGAAGAACUGGGGACCACAGUCAAUGCUUUACUUAAAGGGAAAACAUGGAAGACGGUUUGUUCCUGACAUUGAUGAUAUUAUUUCAAGUUCAGGGUUGAAAAGCUGGUACGCAGUUCUCAAAGGGUUUCAGAAACUGAAGUCGCUGAACGCAAGAAAACAAUCAGGAUUGUUCACAAUGCAGAACUUUGUUAUCCGUUAAUCUUUUUGUCUGCUGGGUCUGUACAGUGUGCCAUAUUUUAUAAUGUUUAAGAUUCAAAAUAAAUCUAUUUAUGUCAAAUACAUGGGAAAUUGAUUGAUUUUUUGACUGUUUAGAUGGGGCUUUAUAUAUUUUAGGAUUGAUUGUAUAUGUUCUGACAGUGGUGUUGGUUAUGUUUUUAUAAAUAAAAGUUAUAAAUCAAACUUUGGUUGAUGUGUUAAGAUAACAUUCACACUGAAGCUGACUCACAUGCCUAGUUGUAUGUGGUUAUUUUAUGCAUGCACAUUUGUUUCAGUGGCUAUUCAAUUUUAGUUGCAUUUUUCUUAAUAAACUGAGGUCAUUGUAUGUACAUACAGACAUUAUUCCAUGCAACCCAGCUGAGGUGCUUCAGAUGACCUUAAAUACCUCCGAUUCACAGCCAAACUGCAACAGCUGCAAAAGGAGAAAUCAGAUCAUGUGAGCAAGACGUGUCGCCUGCUCAGAGAGCAAUGGCUCCUUUCACUGCCCUCAAAUACACUUCAGUGUAUUCAGUGGAAACACAAUGGGAGAUAUUAUCUCUCAAUGUGAGUUCUGGUUAACAGUGUAGAUUCAUUUCUAAACUGCAAAGUUCAUCUUUCUCUGUCGCCAUGCCUUAAGCCACUUUCACUCUCUCAGGUUCACAUAACUUUGCAGCAAGCAAUUGUGAAUAGGUCUGUGUUGUUUUUUAAGUAUUUGUAUGAAUGGACUUUGGUAUAGUUCAGCCACUUUUAACGUUUUAACUGUUACGUGAUUGUUUAAAGUGGCGGGAAAAUUAACUUAAGGGAUGCAAAUAAAAGGUUAUGAUUACAAACGAAUGCAUCACAAAAUUCAUUAAAUCUAUUACUAAUAUUUGCUCAUGCUUGUACUGUUUUCCCACUGAAUAUGAUGUCAACUCCUAGAUGAUAAAAUACUGACUUUCAGUUACUAAUAAAUUAAAAUUCACACCUGCACUAGUCUCAUAUAUAGUGAGUAAAAUAUUUAUCCAAUAUGUGUUUAUUUUUAAGUAUCUUGCUAAAUUGAUUGACAUUUAAUUAAUACAUUUAACUGAUACAGUAAAAUAGUAAUUCUGUGAAAUAUAGCAAUUUAAUAUAAUUAAUUCUCGUGAUGGGAAAUCAGAAUUUUCAGCAUCCACGAUCCUUCAGAAACCAUUUUUUUUGGCGACCUGCUCAAUAAACUUUAUUUAAAAAAAAAAAAAAAAAAAAAAAUGUAUAUGAUUGCUUGUUAUAUAUCAAUAGCUCCAUCUUCUGGUACAUCACUGGUGAGGCAGAAGGAACUCCAAAUGGUUAACAAUAUUAAUAUUAUUAUUAAUAGGAUACUUAUUUUAAGUCUGCGUAUAGGCUAUAUUUUGAAAUGCAGGUUUGAAAUUCAGCCACUUAAUGAAAAUCGAUACGUUUACCAACUAAACAAGGUUACAGUAGGCUAUACAUAAUACAAAUCAACACUCAAAUGUAAUAAAAUAACGGAUAAAAAGUUGGAAAAAAUGAAUAAGUCCUUGCAGAGAGGUCCAUUAAUUUGAAGACUUCUUGCUGGUUGCAGGUACAAAAAAAUAAAAUAACGCUCUCGGUUUUGGUGGGUCUUCGCGCAAACAGAAUCGUACAACCAAUUAAACAGAUCGAGUUUAUCACACGAGCAGCGGAUUGGCAAACACACACAUAU
Long non-coding RNA from Carassius auratus (goldfish), 1947 nucleotides. The record is from Ensembl. NCBI's taxonomy places the organism in Eukaryota, Metazoa, Chordata, Actinopteri, Cypriniformes, Cyprinidae.